AUAGUGUUAGUGUAAAAUUAUAGAUUUUUUUUUUUGAAAGAAAGAUAGUAUACUGUCCACUUCAUUUAUUUUUUUAAAAAAUAAAUUUAACUGAAAAUAUGAAGCAAUAAAAUUAAAAGUGCCGUUUAGUUGUAUAUAGUUAUAAAUACAUGGCAGUUGUAAGUUAUAACUGUAUAUAAAUAUAAAUUUGGUGUUUGGUUUGAUAUAUUUAACCCCAACGGCUAUAGUAAAAAUUACAGGAGAAGGUCCAACUGUAACAGUUGGAACUACGCCCAAAUUGAUCGCAGUUCCAACUGCAACAGUUGAAGAGUGCAACUUUAAACAAAAAAUAACCUUACCUCUUUAAACAUUUUUAAACAAAAAUAAAUUUUUUUUUUACAUUGAAGGUAAUUUCACCAUGAUGUAUAUAAAAUGAUACAAUUUUAAAAAUUAUUUCUUAACUGCAUACAACCAAACAAAUUAUUUAUAGUUACAACGCUUUCUACUAUAUUCAACCAAACACGAUGUAUAUAGUUAUAACCAUUGUAUUUUCAACUAUAUACAUCUCUAACUAUACUGUAUUUAUAAAUAUAUCUAAUUAAACGAUUUUCCAAAUUUUGAAUCUAAAACCUUAUAUAUACUAAUUACUAAAUUUUUUACCAUUUACACUAGGUACGAACAAUAAUUUCAGGUUGUUUCCCUAUCGAGUUAAAGGGGAUGGGACAGGACUAAGCAAUUUAAAGUUGGGUGUCCUUUGGGGCCCAUUACAUUGGUUGAAUUUUGGUUCGCUUCCAACAAAAAACAUGGAAUAUAAAACUCUAGUUGUUGCUUGUCAGGGCAUUAAUUUCGGCGUUUCUUUUUGCCUCCCUGGGUGAGGAAAAAUUCUAAAAUGCAACGGGUAUAUUAGUGACGUGGCGUAACAAAUCAAUCAAAUUAAUUCUUUUAAGAAUAUAUGUCCCAUCAUGAUUGUAAAAAAAUAUUUUUAUUGUACUUUUGUUUGAAAAGAAGGAAUGUGAUUGGCUUGUUAUUGAUGACGUGGUGCAAGUGUGACAGUGUAGAAUUUCUUCUGGGUGAGCGAUGUCACAAGGAAAAU
Molecule: long non-coding RNA, 1072 nt
Filed under: Ananas comosus (pineapple)
Lineage: Eukaryota; Viridiplantae; Streptophyta; Magnoliopsida; Poales; Bromeliaceae
Description: long non-coding RNA (ACOM_LNC008077)
Source: RNAcentral